RNAcentral lists this ribosomal RNA (252 nucleotides) under uncultured bacterium. RNAcentral describes it as "partial 16S ribosomal RNA". It matches the Rfam family "Bacterial small subunit ribosomal RNA", at positions 524 to 776 of the family's 1533-position model. The record is from RNAcentral.
UACAGAGGGUGCAAGCGUUAAUCGGAAUUACUGGGCGUAAAGCGCGCGUAGGUGGUUCGUUAAGUUGGAUGUGAAAUCCCCGGGCUCAACCUGGGACUGCAUUCAAAACUGACGAGCUAGAGUAUGGUAGAGGGUGGUGGAAUUUCCUGUGUAGCGGUGAAAUGCGUAGAUAUAGGAAGGAACACCAGUGGCGAAGGCGGCUCUCUAGUACGGUACUGACGCUGAGACGCGAAAGCGUGGGGAGCGAACAGG